GAUGAACGCUGGCGGCGUGCCUAAUACAUGCAAGUCGAGCGAACAGACGAGGAGCUUGCUCCUCUGACGUUAGCGGCGGACGGGUGAGUAACACGUGGAUAACCUACCUAUAAGACUGGGAUAACUUCGGGAAACCGGAGCUAAUACCGGAUAAUAUAUUGAACCGCAUGGUUCAAUAGUGAAAGACGGUUUUGCUGUCACUUAUAGAUGGAUCCGCGCCGCAUUAGCUAGUUGGUAAGGUAACGGCUUACCAAGGCGACGAUGCGUAGCCGACCUGAGAGGGUGAUCGGCCACACUGGAACUGAGACACGGUCCAGACUCCUACGGGAGGCAGCAGUAGGGAAUCUUCCGCAAUGGGCGAAAGCCUGACGGAGCAAUGCCGCGUGAGUGAUGAAGGUCUUCGGAUCGUAAAACUCUGUUAUUAGGGAAGAACAAAUGUGUAAGUAACUAUGCACGUCUUGACGGUACCUAAUCAGAAAGCCACGGCUAACUACGU
This 496-nucleotide ribosomal RNA is filed under the name uncultured bacterium. Its description in RNAcentral is "partial 16S ribosomal RNA". It matches the Rfam family "Bacterial small subunit ribosomal RNA", at positions 28 to 506 of the family's 1533-position model. The record is from RNAcentral.